RNAcentral lists this ribosomal RNA (468 nucleotides) under uncultured bacterium. RNAcentral's name for it is "partial 16S ribosomal RNA". It matches the Rfam family "Bacterial small subunit ribosomal RNA", at positions 28 to 507 of the family's 1533-position model. The record is from RNAcentral.
GACGAACGCUGGCGGCGGGCUUAACACAUGCAAGUCGAACGGAAAGGCCCUGCUUGUGUGGGGUGCUCGAGUGGCGAACGGGUGAGUAACACGUGAGUAACCUGCCCUUGACUUUGGGAUAACUUCAGGAAACUGGGGCUAAUACCGGAUAGGAGCUCCUGCUGCAGGGUGGGGGUUGGAAAGUUUCGGCGGUUGGGGAUGGACUCGCGGCUUAUCAGCUUGUUGGUGGGGUAGUGGCUUACCAAGGCUUUGACGGGUAGCCGGCCUGAGAGGGUGACCGGCCACAUUGGGACUGAGAUACGGCCCAGACUCCUACGGGAGGCAGCAGUGGGGAAUAUUGCCCAAUGGGCGGAAGCCUGAUGAAGCAGCGCCGCGUGCGGGAUGACGGCCUUCGGGUUGUAAAACGCUUUCGCCUGUGACGAAGCGUGAGUGACGGUAAUGGGUAAAGAAGCACCGGCUAACUACGUG